UGCUGGAGGUAUCAGAAGUGCGAAUGCUGACAUAAGUAACGAUAAAGCGGGUGAAAAGCCCGCUCGCCGGAAGACCAAGGGUUCCUGUCCAACGUUAAUCGGGGCAGGGUGAGUCGACCCCUAAGGCGAGGCCGAAAGGCGUAGUCGAUGGGAAACGGGUUAAUAUUCCCGUACUUGGUGUUACUGCGAAGGGGGGACGGAGAAGGCUAUGUUGGCCGGGCGACGGUUGUCCCGGUUUAAGCGUGUAGGUGUGUGUUCCAGGUAAAUCCGGUUCACUUUAACACUGAGGCGUGACGACGAGGCACUACGGUGCUGAAGCAACAAAUGCCCUGCUUCCAGGAAAAGCCUCUAAGCAUCAGGUAACACGAAAUCGUACCCCAAACCGACACAGGUGGUCAGGUAGAGAAUACCAAGGCGCUUGAGAGAACUCGGGUGAAGGAACUAGGCAAAAUGGUGCCGUAACUUCGGGAGAAGGCACGCUGACACGUAGGUGAAGUGAUUUACUCAUGGAGCUGAAGUCAGUCGAAGAUACCAGCUGGCUGCAACUGUUUAUUAAAAACACAGCACUGUGCAAACACGAAAGUGGACGUAUACGGUGUGACGCCUGCCCGGUGCCGGAAGGUUAAUUGAUGGGGUCAGCGCAAGCGAAGCUCCUGAUCGAAGCCCCGGUAAACGGCGGCCGUAACUAUAACGGUCCUAAGGUAGCGAAAUUCCUUGUCGGGUAAGUUCCGACCUGCACGAAUGGCGUAAUGAUGGCCAGGCUGUCUCCACCCGAGACUCAGUGAAAUUGAACUCGCUGUGAAGAUGCAGUGUACCCGCGGCAAGACGGAAAGACCCCGUGAACCUUUACUAUAGCUUGACACUGAACAUUGAGCCUUGAUGUGUAGGAUAGGUGGGAGGCUUUGAAGUGUGGACGCCAGUCUGCAUGGAGCCGACCUUGAAAUACCACCCUUUAAUGUUUGAUGUUCUAACGUGGACCCGUAAUCCGGGUUGCGGACAGUGUCUGGUGGGUAGUUUGGCUGGGGCGGUCUCCUCCUAAAGAGUAACGGAGGAGCACGAAGGUUGGCUAAUCCUGGUCGGACAUCAGGAGGUUAGUGCAAUGGCAUAAGCCAGCUUGACUGCGAGCGUGACGGCGCGAGCAGGUGCGAAAGCAGGUCAUAGUGAUCCGGUGGUUCUGAAUGGAAGGGCCAUCGCUCAACGGAUAAAAGGUACUCCGGGGAUAACAGGCUGAUACCGCCCAAGAGUUCAUAUCGACGGCGGUGUUUGGCACCUCGAUGUCGGCUCAUCACAUCCUGGGGCUGAAGUAGGUCCCAAGGGUAUGGCUGUUCGCCAUUUAAAGUGGUACGCGAGCUGGGUUUAGAACGUCGUGAGACAGUUCGGUCCCUAUCUGCCGUGGGCGCUGGAGAACUGAGGGGGGCUGCUCCUAGUACGAGAGGACCGGAGUGGACGCAUCACUGGUGUUCGGGUUGUCAUGCCAAUGGCACUGCCCGGUAGCUAAAUGCGGAAGAGAUAAGUGCUGAAAGCAUCUAAGCACGAAACUUGCCCCGAGAUGAGUUCU
RNAcentral lists this ribosomal RNA (1558 nucleotides) under Salmonella enterica subsp. enterica serovar Typhimurium. RNAcentral's name for it is "bacterial LSU rRNA". It matches the Rfam family "Bacterial large subunit ribosomal RNA", at positions 1271 to 2812 of the family's 2925-position model. Lineage: Bacteria; Pseudomonadati; Pseudomonadota; Gammaproteobacteria; Enterobacterales; Enterobacteriaceae. The record is from RNAcentral.